UAGACGUAGGUGUUCUCGUCAAGUUUUUCAUGUCGGCAUUAAACUAAAGAAUACGCCAUCCGAAACAUCAAAUUAAUGGCUGGCCAUUUACAUAGUACUUGKGAAGGCCGGCACUGUACUUUGCAUUUAUGUUCCUUGCACUCUGUAAUAAUAAAGUAAUAGAAAUGAGCCAAAUUUUCACAGUAAAGAAUUCACAUUGAAUUGAAACAUUGAUUACGUGUAUUCAUAGUGGGACAUUCUAGAAUGUCAUGACAAAUAUUUUCUUUCGAAAUGUCAAUAGAAAGAUGUCUGUGUCGUGUGGAGACAAAUAUUGACCUCAGACAAACUCUCGAACUUCUAGAAUUAUCAUUAAAAUUAUCUUKAAGUCCUGAGUAUAAGAAUAUAUCGAGUUCCAUCUCGUCGAAAAUAGCAGUAAAAACCAAGUCAUGAUUUAGGCAGUAGUGCAAAAGAAAMAUUUUAUGCUGAUAAAACAAWWUUUUUAGGCUGCUAUUAUAUCUCUUAUCUGUUUUUAAACAGUUGACAGCAGGUAUCGAGAAAUGCCCGGGGUAAUUAUCUUUCUACAACGCCAUUGGUCAAUUCUUGGCUUUGGGGUCUUCAAUAUUUGGACAAUAAAUCAAGAUUAUAUCAGGCAGGAAAAGCAUUCCUGGAAGUCUCUGGCAGUUACUUGGCAGCAUACUAAAUAUGAGUUAUUGGGGUUUCAGAUAAUUCUCCAAACUAAAAUCAAUAUCGUUUGUACACAGCUCUUCUCGCUGCUUCUUGUUGUAAAACAACGAUGUCCAGCAUUUAUGAGGCUCCUGAGCCUAAAAGUAUCAGGUCAACAUACGAAAAUUUUCGAGAGAUGCCAAGGGAUUCUAGCAGAGGCAACUCUCUAAGGACAUGUCUUCCUGAUCGAUCUCAAGAUGACCACGAUGUCAAACAGAAGAUGAAGUGUACACUAUCUACGCGCCAUGACUCGAGGCACACCAAAGACAGGCACAAGAGCACAGCGAAAUAGAUGAGACAGCAAAGGAUCUCCAAUGUCCUCCUGCACCUCGUAUACCUGAUGGACGUCAGCUUGGGCGUGACAAUCAGCAGGACCUACAGAACGAAGGAGUUCUUUUGAUUAGAAGAGUUAAAAUACCAGUAGAGCAAAAUGAGCGUGACGUCGUACUUGAGCCCCAAUUAACAAUAAUGAGACCAAUUGCCCAGGAUUCAGGCUCAGGACCAAACAUGGAACCAGUCUUCGACCAAGACAACUUAUACCUGCUCUUUCAUGAGCAUUUCCAAGAAGCAAUUGUGGAAGAGCUAGGUUGAUUAAAGCUGUGUACUAGUAUGAUACGUUCUAUGUACAAACACUGAUUUAUAUAUAGUUUGAUACAAUCGUUGAAUUUUGUAGGCGCUGUAAGGUGGGG
Molecule: long non-coding RNA, 1391 nt
Organism: Exaiptasia diaphana
Lineage: Eukaryota; Metazoa; Cnidaria; Anthozoa; Actiniaria; Aiptasiidae
Exons: 7
Source: RefSeq, a predicted model, not a curated record